AUGACUAUGGCGGAAUUGGUAGACGCGAUUAGUUUAGGUCUAAUUUAUUUUUAAUAAUAUGGGUUCAAAUCCCAUUAGUCAUA
This 83-nucleotide transfer RNA is filed under the name Ogataea polymorpha. It matches the Rfam family "tRNA". Rfam says of the family: Transfer RNA (tRNA) molecules are approximately 80 nucleotides in length. Their secondary structure includes four short double-helical elements and three loops (D, anti-codon, and T loops). Further hydrogen bonds mediate the characteristic L-shaped molecular structure. tRNAs have two regions of fundamental functional importance: the anti-codon, which is responsible for specific mRNA codon recognition, and the 3' end, to which the tRNAs corresponding amino acid is attached (by aminoacyl-tRNA synthetases). tRNAs cope with the degeneracy of the genetic code in two manners: having more than one tRNA (with a specific anti-codon) for a particular amino acid; and 'wobble' base-pairing, i.e. permitting non-standard base-pairing at the 3rd anti-codon position. Lineage: Eukaryota; Fungi; Ascomycota; Pichiomycetes; Pichiales; Pichiaceae. RNAcentral also lists the same sequence under 1 other name. The record is from Rfam by way of RNAcentral.